CUCGUGUCAUUGUAUCUCCAGCUUUUCCUGCAUCUGCAAUAGCUCUAACAUCGCCGCCAGCACAAAAAGCUUUUUCUCCGGUUCCCUUUAUAAUUAUUAGAAAAGUUUCAGGAUCUUGCUCCCAAGCCUUUAUCUGUGGAUAAAUUUGUUGGAUCAUCUUGAAACUUAGUGCAUUGAGAACCUUGGGUCUGUUCAAGGUUAUUAUUCCUGCGCCUCCUUGCUUUUGCAACAGAACAUCAGCUGCAGAAUCGGUAUGCUUACACGUUUUCAAAUGCUGUAAUAUUACUUGCAGUCUGUUAAAGGGCUUCAGUCUGCGCGGCGCCAUCAGCACGCGUGCCGCCAUGGCGGCAGCCGGCGCCGUCGCUCUCCG
Molecule: long non-coding RNA, 370 nt
Filed under: Gallus gallus (chicken)
Lineage: Eukaryota; Metazoa; Chordata; Aves; Galliformes; Phasianidae
Source: RNAcentral